UACGUAGGGUGCGAGCGUUAAUCGGAAUUACUGGGCGUAAAGUGUGCGCAGGCGGCCAUGCAAGUCGAGUGUGAAAGCCCCGGGCUUAACUUGGGAAUUGCGCUCGAAACUACGUGGCUGGAGUGUGGCAGAGGAAGGUGGAAUUCCACGUGUAGCGGUGAAAUGCUUAGAUAUGACAUAGAACACCAAUUGCGAAGGCAGCUUACUACCCGAAUAUUGACACUGAGGCACGAAAGCGUGGGGAUCAAACAGG
This 253-nucleotide ribosomal RNA is filed under the name uncultured bacterium. Its description in RNAcentral is "partial 16S ribosomal RNA". It matches the Rfam family "Bacterial small subunit ribosomal RNA", at positions 524 to 776 of the family's 1533-position model. The record is from RNAcentral.